Molecule: ribosomal RNA, 290 nt
Filed under: uncultured bacterium
Lineage: Bacteria
Description: partial 16S ribosomal RNA
Rfam family: Bacterial small subunit ribosomal RNA
Source: RNAcentral
CUGUCCUACGGGGGGCAGCAGUGGGGAAUAUUGGACAAUGGGGGGAACCCUGAUCCAGCGACGCCGCGUGAGUGAAGAAGUAUUUCGGUAUGUAAAGCUCUAUCAGCAGGGAAGAAAAUGACGGUACCUGACUAAGAAGCCCCGGCUAACUACGUGCCAGCAGCCGCGGUAAUACGUAGGGGGCAAGCGUUAUCCGGAUUUACUGGGUGUAAAGGGAGCGUAGACGGUGAGACAAGUCUGAAGUGAAAGCCCGGGGCUCAACCCCGGGACUGCUUUGGAAACUGCCUGAC